AUGGUGGCCGAGUACGGCGCCCUGCAGUACGGCCGCCCGUUCGUGUUCUGGCUCGGGCCACGGCCGCGGCUGGUGGUCUCCGGCCCGGAGGUCGCGAAGGACGUGCUGACCGACUCCACGGGGACCUUCAGAAAGGGUUCCGGGAGCAACGUGAAUCCGCUCUCUCGGCAGCUCCUCGGCGAGGGGCUGGUGGCGCUCACCGGGGAGAAGUGGGCGCACCACCGCCGUGUGAUAUCGCCCGCCUUCAACAUGGAGAGAAUCAAGGGUUGGAUUCCUGAAAUAUCAGCUAUCACCUCAUCCAUGCUGGAUAAAUGGGAAGUUCAAGGAGAAACCCGCGCUGAGUUUGAGAUUGAUUCCCCGGAAGAAUUCCACACUUUGAGUGCGGAUGUCAUUUCUUGUAUAGCAUUUGGAAGUAGCUACGAGGAAGGAAAGCGAAUUUUUCAAUUGCAAGAUGAACAGGUACAACUUGCCCUCCUUGCAAUGAGAACCUUCUACUUUCCUGGAUUCAGGUUUGUGCCGACAAAGAAGAAACAAAGAAGGCAUAGCCUAAACAAGGAAAUCCGAAAUUCUUUGCGCAGAUUGAUUGAGAUCAAUCGAAAGAAGUGUGAAGAUUCCAAAAAUUUGCUUGGCUUGAUGCUAUCAGCCAGCAAAACUGACAAGGAGUUUAAAAUGGGAAUCGAAGAGAUCAUUGAUGAGUGCAAAACAUUUUACUUUGCCGGUAAAGAAACAACUGCAAAUUUAUUGACAUGGGCAACACUUCUGCUGGCAUUGUAUAAAGAAUGGCAACACAAGGCCCGAGCCGAAGUCCUGCAAGUGUGUGGCAAGAACAAGCACCCAAAUGCGGAAACCUUGAGCAGUCUCAAAAUUGUAAAUAUGGUGUUGAAGGAGACCCUCAGGCUAUACCCUCCAGCUCUGUUCGUCAACAGGACAUUCACUAGGGAUGUGAAGCUAGGAAAACUCGACAUCCCUGCGGGCACACAGCUCAAUAUGCCUAUUAUUGAGAUGCACCAUGAUGUCAACAUUUGGGGAGCUAAUGCGGAGGAGUUUGAUCCAUCAAGGUUUGCAGAUGGCAAGAGCUAUCACCUCGGCGCGUACUUCCCCUUUGGGAUUGGCCCUGCCAUCUGUGUUGGCCAGAAUCGCACGAUGGUUGAGGCAAAGCUGGCGCUUGCAAUGGUCCUCCGGGGCUUUGCGUUUGAUGUCUCGCCGUCCUAUGUUCAUGCGCCGAUGAUGGCGAUGACCCUCCAACCCCAGUACGGUGCUCAGGUUCUUGUCCACAAGAUCUAA
Molecule: ribosomal RNA, 1284 nt
Filed under: Triticum aestivum (bread wheat)
Lineage: Eukaryota; Viridiplantae; Streptophyta; Magnoliopsida; Poales; Poaceae
Description: partial small subunit ribosomal RNA
Source: RNAcentral